AGUCGAACGGCAGCACGGACUUCGGUCUGGUGGCGAGUGGCGAACGGGUGAGUAAUGUAUCGGAACGUGUUUAGUAGCGGGUGAUAAUCUGGCUGCUGAAAGCGUAGUUGGCCACGCAUACGCCUCGGGGGAAAGCGGGGACCUUCGGGCCUCGCACUAAUAGGUUACUGAUAUCGGAUUAGCCAGUUGCGGCAACGGCUCACCAAGGCGACGAUCCGUAGCUGGGUUUGAGAGGACGACCAGCCACACUGGGACUGAGACACGGCCCAGACUCCUACGGAGGCAGCAGUGGAAUUUUGGACAAUGGGGGAAACCCUGAUCCAGCCAUCCCGCGUGUGCGAUGAAGGCCUUCGGGUUGUAAAGCACUUUUGCUAGUGAAAGAAACGGGCACGCAGGGAUAACACUCCGCGCAACUGGACGGUACCUGCAGAAUAAGCACCGCCAACCACGCCAAAGAGCCGCGGUAAUACGUAGGGUGCCAUAAUCGGAAUUACUGGGCGUAAAGCGUGCGCAGGCGGUUCGGAAAGAAAAAGAUGAAAUCCCAGAGCUUAACUUUGGAACCGCAUUUUUAACUACUGAGCUAGAGUGUGUCAGAGGAGGUGGAAUUCCGCGUGUAGCAGUGAAAUGCGUAGAUAUGCGGAGGAACACCGAUGGCGAAGGCAGCCUCCGGGGAUAACACUGAUUGCUCAUGCACGAAAGCGUGGGGAGCAAACAGGAUUAGAUACCUCUGUAGUCCACGCCCUAAACGAUGUCAACUAGCUGUUGGGGGCUUUCGCCUUGGUAGCGCAGUUAACGCGUGAAGCUGACCGCCUGGGGAGUACGGUCGCAAGAUUAAACUCAAAGGAAUUGACGGGGACCCGCACAAGCGGUGGAUGAUGUGGAUUAUUCGAUGCAACGCGAAAAACCUUACCUACCCUUGACAUGUCUGAAUCCCGAACAGAUUUGGGAGUGUGCUCGCAAGAGAACCGGAACACAGGUGCUGUACGGCUGUCGUCAGCUCGUGUCGUGAGAUGUUGUUAAGUCCCGCAACGAGCGCAACUUUGUCAUUAUGCCAAGGAAAGGGCACCCUAAUGAGACUGCCGGUGACAAACCGGAGGAAGGUGGGGAUGACGUCAAGUCCUCAUGGCCCUUAUGGUGGGCUUCACACGUCAUACAAUGGUCGGACAGAGGUCGCCAACCCGCGAGGGGAGCCAAUCCCAGAAACCCGAUCGUGUAGUCCGGAUCGCAGUCUGGUAACUCGACUGCGUGAAGUUUGAAUCGCUAGUAACGCGGAUCAGCAUGUCGCGGUAGCCACGUUCCGGUCUUGUACACACCGCCCGUCACACCAUGAGUGGGUUUUACCAGAAGUAGUUAGCCUAACCGUAUGAGUGGCGAUUACCACGGUAGGAUUCAUGACUGGGGUGAGGUCGUAACAAGGUAG
This 1420-nucleotide ribosomal RNA is filed under the name uncultured Bordetella sp. RNAcentral describes it as "partial 16S-23S ribosomal RNA intergenic spacer". It matches the Rfam family "Bacterial small subunit ribosomal RNA". Lineage: Bacteria; Pseudomonadati; Pseudomonadota; Betaproteobacteria; Burkholderiales; Alcaligenaceae. The record is from RNAcentral.